Molecule: ribosomal RNA, 478 nt
Filed under: uncultured Planctomycetota bacterium
Lineage: Bacteria; Pseudomonadati; Planctomycetota
Description: bacterial SSU rRNA
Rfam family: Bacterial small subunit ribosomal RNA
Source: RNAcentral
UUCGCAAUGCCCGAAAGGGUGACGAAGCGACGCCGCGUGUGGGAAGAAGGCCUUCGGGUUGUAAACCACUGUCGGGAGUUAAGAAGUGUAAGGGGGUUAAUAGUCUCCUUGCUUGACGUUAGCUCCGGAGGAAGCCACGGCUAACUCUGUGCCAGCAGCCGCGGUAAUACAGAGGUGGCAAGCGUUGUUCGGAAUUAUUGGGCGUAAAGAGCACGUAGGCGGCCCUGCAAGUCAGCUGUGAAAUCCUUCUGCUCAACGGAAGAACGGCAGUUGAUACUAUAGGGCUCGAGUGCGGGAGGGGAGAGUGGAACUUCUGGUGGAGCGGUGAAAUGCGUAGAUAUCAGAAGGAACAUCGGCGGCGAAGGCGACUCUCUGGCCCGUAACUGACGCUGAGUGUGCGAAAGCUAGGGGAGCAAACGGGAUUAGAUACCCCGGUAGUCCUAGCCGUAAACGAUGGGCACUAAGUAGAGGGGUUUUA